UCGGUGGGGUAACCGCAAGGAGCCAGCCGCCGAAGGUGGGGUAGAUGAUUGGGGUGAAGUCGUAACAAGGUAGCCGUAUCGGAAGGUGCGGCUGGAUCACCUCCUUUCUAUGGAGA
This 116-nucleotide ribosomal RNA is filed under the name Paenibacillus campinasensis. RNAcentral describes it as "partial 16S ribosomal RNA". It matches the Rfam family "Bacterial small subunit ribosomal RNA", at positions 1427 to 1533 of the family's 1533-position model. The record is from RNAcentral. Lineage: Bacteria; Bacillati; Bacillota; Bacilli; Caryophanales; Paenibacillaceae.